RNAcentral lists this ribosomal RNA (449 nucleotides) under uncultured bacterium. RNAcentral's name for it is "partial 16S ribosomal RNA". It matches the Rfam family "Bacterial small subunit ribosomal RNA", at positions 29 to 523 of the family's 1533-position model. The record is from RNAcentral.
AACGAACGCUGGCGGCAGGCCUAACACAUGCAAGUCGAACGCUGUAGCAAUACAGAGUGGCAGACGGGUGAGUAACGCGUGGGAAUCUACCCAAUGGUACGGAAUAACUCAGGGAAACUUGAGCUAAUACCGUAUGUGCCCGAAAGGGGAAAGAUUUAUCGCCAUUGGAUGAGCCCGCGUCGGAUUAGCUAGUUGGUGGGGUAACGGCCCACCAAGGCGACGAUCCGUAGCUGGUCUGAGAGGACGAUCAGCCACACUGGGACUGAGACACGGCCCAGACUCCUACGGGAGGCAGCAGUGGGGAAUAUUGGACAAUGGGCGCAAGCUUGAUCCAGCCAUGCCGCGUGAGUGAUGAAGGCCCUAGGGUUGUAAAGCUCUUUCGACGGGGACGAUAAUGACGGUACCCGUAGAAGAAGCCCCGGCUAACUUCGUGCCAGCCGCCGCCGUAA